Molecule: long non-coding RNA, 2255 nt
Organism: Peromyscus californicus insignis
Lineage: Eukaryota; Metazoa; Chordata; Mammalia; Rodentia; Cricetidae
Exons: 3
Source: RefSeq, a predicted model, not a curated record
UUGAUGGUCAGCAUCUACACAGCGGCCCACUACUGUCUGUAAUUCCAGUCUCGGGGCAUCUGACAGCUCUCUGGCCUCAGAAGGUACCAGGAACACACAUGGAACACAGCCAUACAUGCAGGCUUGCAGGGAGCAGAAGGAAGGAUGGGAGGAGGAUCUGUGGUUGUGCAGGAAAAGGAUUGCUGAGUAUGGUGGUUCUGUUUGAUGCUUUAAGGAAUUUCCCAUGCCAUUUUCCUUAAUUGCUGUGAGAAGAGGAACAAGGCACGAAGAGAGGGAAAAAGCCAAAAGACCCUACAACCAUUUGCUUCAUGAACCUCAUCUGGGAUAAAUCAAGAUCAGAAUGUCCGUUGUGGAAUAUUACUUUAACUACAUAAAAAUAUGUUACAUUUGUUUAUUCUGCAUUUGUUUAACAAUGUAAAGAUGUAUUAUGUUUGUUUGUGCUGCAUCUGUUUAAGUAUGUAAAGAUGUGUUGCUGGUUUAACUUUCCUGCCUAAGGAACCCUGUUGGACUAAUAAAAGGCCGAACAGCCAGUAGCUUAUCAUCAGAGGGACAGGCAGGACUAGUGGGCAGAGAGAAAAAAUGGGAGGGGGAAUCUAGGCUUGAAAGAACAAGGGAAAAAGAGAGAGAGAGAGUCAUCCAGGAUCAGCCAGCCAGUGUAAAGUAGGACAUAUAGAGUGAAAGAAAGUUAAAAAGCCCCAAGGCAAAAAUGUAGAUGAAGAGAAACAGGUUAAAUUAUGGUAUAAGAGCUAGUGGGACAAGCAUAAGAUGAGGCCUAGCAUUCAUAACUAAUAAUAUCUCUCUCUGUCUUUAUCUGGGAGCUGGUUGGUGGUCCAAAAGAAAGCCUGCUGUGAAUGGCGGAAUCCACUACCACCAGGCUUCGUUCAUGGAGUCCUCUGUGGUAGGGCUGAUGGUGCUAGUCUAUGUAUUCACCAGGCACCUCUUCGUCUCCCUGAAAGGGCUGGAGACAGCUUUGUUGAACACAAAAAAAAAAUCUGCUGGGCAAUCUAAAACAAAACAUAGGCCAAAGUAUAGGAAGAGGCAAUGGAAUAUCCGAGGAGAUGGGAGUAACUGAAUCUCAGUGAGCGGUGAACUUGGAAGCCCUGAGGGACUGUCCAUCAGGUCAGCUACUUAUAGAAAUUGUUGAGGCUGCUUGCUUUUGUCUCUCAAGAGCAUAACUUUCCGUUUUCUUCCACCAGGCAGCCAUCCAUGAUUGCUCCUUUAUGAACUGCCCUCCUCUGCACCCCAGGCCAUAUUCAAUUCUUUGAUUACCACAGGAACACCCCCCUAUGUUCCUUUCUAAACUUUGUGUCAAGAUGAAGAAGGACUUGAGAGUUGGACUUGGGGUGCCUCUGAUAUCAUGGGAGAUGAUUAAUAUUUCCAGUCACAGUGUUAAGGCUUUCCCUUUUUCUAACCUUACAGUGUUUGUCCAAUUUUGUCUUUUUGAUAAAGUAUUAUAUUUAUUUAUAUGGUGCAAUAUAUAAAAUCCACCAAUUUAACACAUAAAUGAACAUUUUUCAGUUUGCAUUUCAAGAAGAAGGUAUUUUGAUUUUAAGAUACCAUUUUAAACCUUACCAAAAAAUGUUCUUGGUCAAAAAUGAUAUAUGGGAUAAAACAUUUUAUUUUUUCCAUUUCUGUUUAAUCAUCACUCUUUUUACAGAGCAAAAAAAAUGAAAAUGAAGCCUUUCAAAUGCUGAUUUUAUUUAUAUGAAUUGUCUUUGUCUUAUGUUACAGAAACAAGGACACUUUAUUUUCAUUUUAAGAAGAGAUAUAAUUCAUUCUGUUUCUUUCUCUCAUAACAAACCCAUAUAUCAUUCAAGUUUGAAUUAAUGUAUUAUGGCAGGAAAAUUACUGUAGAUGCCAUAACUAUCAACAAGGAACUGAUUGGACUCUCUACUUAUCUGAGAAUAUUUAUUUCUGAUACAGACAUAUAUAUGUAUCUAUGUUAAUUUCAGCAAUUUUUUGUCAUACCCCAUGUAUGAAACAAUGGAAGCUGUGUGGGACUCUGGGAAGUUUGACAGUUGCAAAAGAAAAUACUCACAUAUUUUUGUGGAAAUAUGUCAUAACAUCUUUUCUUACUCUUUUCCCACCAUCCUCAAAUUCAUGGCCUUCAAAUGAAUUUGGUAAGAAAAUUAAGCAUGAAUUUGGUAAGAAAAAAAUAGACUUGUUUGUGGUAUUAUUUAAGUAAAAAUUCUGUGUAAUUAAGUAUAAUUUUCUUACAUAAAUCAACGUGUACAACAUAAAAUAUGUUUUGAACU